Molecule: long non-coding RNA, 1776 nt
Organism: Coffea eugenioides
Lineage: Eukaryota; Viridiplantae; Streptophyta; Magnoliopsida; Gentianales; Rubiaceae
Exons: 4
Source: RefSeq, a predicted model, not a curated record
GUACCUACAUAUUCUUGAGCAUGCAAAAAAUAAGGGGUUGUUUGCUUGGCGAGAGCUUUCUAGUUUCAAAUUAGAUCCAUCAGGGCACUCCCAAAAGGAACUCUUUCUCCUUCUUUAUAUGGAGAUGGUUUAGGCAUACCAAGUUUAGUUUUAGAAUCUACAAUGAAGCAUUUGUAAAAACGCGUGGAAUAGUAUAAAAGGCUGAUGGUGUAAAAGAUUUUUUCGAGGCUUAGACAUGCAGCAACAAAGAUUAUUCGGGCUGGCUACGAGGAUUCUCUUGCAUGAGUGGCAUUCUAACCUCAAAUGGAUCCAUCAAAGCUCUACCAAAAGGAAGACUCUUUCUCGUUCUGUAGAUGGAGAAGGCAAUGAUAAGUCCAGUUUGAGAGUUUACAGUCAACCAUUGGUAAAGAUUCAUGGUACAGUAUAAAAAGAAAAGAGUGGAAUAAAUCUUUUUAAGGCUUAGAGCUCUCCUGCUGCAAUGAAGAUGAUUUUGGCUGGCUGCUGGAAUCCUUGUGCAUGGGGUACACUCCUUUUUGUGAUGAAAAAUUUCUGAUUCAGGAAAAGUUUAUCUGACUGCAAAGACAAUUUAAAGGACCGACCUUUAAAUUGUAUUGCCUUCAAGUAGUAAAUAGCAACUUUUUUAGUUAUUAGUGGCUGAAAUAUUAAGAAAUAGUGAUGCUUGUCUGCCAGUUGAAUAGUCAGUCAAGUACUGCCUUGAAGCAAUUCCCUAAUUUAUCUUCCAAAAGAAGGUGCUUGUUGAAACAAUGGGCAACUGCUAGUUUUGGUUCAUUUGGUAUGGAGUAACUGAAGGAUGAAGUUGCAUAUGUUGCUUCUUGUAUGUAGUUCUUGAAAUUACUUGUUCAUCUGUAGUUGGCAAAUCAGAAUAUUUUGAGAUUCUUAGUUGUUGAGUUAGUUCUUAUGCCCUAGUGGAUUAUGGGUGUCUGUUUGACAAUGUUAGCAGCACAUUACAUUCUUUUAUGUUGUUAAUUCUCUAAUGGAACUCUGUGUUGGUACACAGUUGUUUGAGUGCUAGAGAUCAGAUGAAUUGUCUGAAGUCAUGCUAGGGAAGUUUUCCUGUGUAUGAGAAGCUAUGAACACAAGCUAUUCUCUCAAUCUGGUGGUGGGGCACUGCUUUAAUUCAGGUUUAUUGAAUGGUUGAUGGCAAAGAUGCCAUGUUAAUACUCUGCUUUUGUUCAUUUAAUGUUACAUAAAAUUCUCUAGCCUAUCAUGAGAUGUACAUCAUUUUGAGUCUUUAAGAUGAAUUAGGUUAAUGGAUGGUGAGAAGGUCAAAAUUUUUACAUGGAAUUUUGAUGGAUAUCAUUCAAUCCGGAAGUAAAUUUCUGAGAGGAAGGCUCGCAUUAUUGGAAGUACACAUCAUGUGGAUGGCAAUCUCCUGGGGGAAAAGACUGUCCAUGCCUUGCAAGUGGAACCGAUCAAUAGGCAAAAAUCUUCAAGUACUUAGGAAUGAAUAGGCAAGUCAAAUACCUUUAUGUUACUUGUGAACACACUGAAAUAAAUGAACAAAUAGAUAAAUACAACCAAAAAGAAAUGAACACUUCAAUGUAUUUUGUUUGCUUACUAUAGAUAAACAAGUCAACUUCAAGAACCAGCUACAAGAAUGAUAUGUAACUUCAUUAUACAUUCAUUGCAUACCCUAUGAAAUAAAUAAUAGUAGAUUGUCCAUUAUCUUCACUAAGAGUUCCACUGGGAAGAAAUAUCAAGCUACUGCUUUAAGGCACUACUUAAUUAUCAAGUAAUAUUAUUUAUUGACAUUAU